This 69-nucleotide transfer RNA is filed under the name Rattus norvegicus (Norway rat). It matches the Rfam family "tRNA". From Rfam's summary of the family: Transfer RNA (tRNA) molecules are approximately 80 nucleotides in length. Their secondary structure includes four short double-helical elements and three loops (D, anti-codon, and T loops). The record is from Rfam by way of RNAcentral. Lineage: Eukaryota; Metazoa; Chordata; Mammalia; Rodentia; Muridae. RNAcentral also lists the same sequence under 1 other name.
GGGGAUUUGGCUCAGUGGUAGAGCACUUGCCUAGCAAGCACAAGGCCCUGGGUUCGGUCCUCAGCUCCG